UACGGAGGGGGCAAGCGUUGUCCGGAAUCACUGGGCGUAAAGGGCGCGUAGGCGGCCUGGCAAGUCGGGUGUGAAAUCCUGCGGCUUAACCGCAGGGCUGCCUUCUAAACUGUCAGGCUUGAGCACGGUAGAGGCAGAUGGAAUUCCCGGUGUAGCGGUGGAAUGCGUAGAUAUCUGGAGGAACACCGGUGGCGAAGGCGGCAUCCUGGACCAAUAUUGACGCUGAGGCGCGAAAGCCAGGGGAGCAAACGGG
This 253-nucleotide ribosomal RNA is filed under the name uncultured bacterium. RNAcentral's name for it is "partial 16S ribosomal RNA". It matches the Rfam family "Bacterial small subunit ribosomal RNA", at positions 524 to 776 of the family's 1533-position model. The record is from RNAcentral.